This is a non-coding RNA of Ciona savignyi (Pacific transparent sea squirt), 119 nucleotides long. The record is from Rfam. Lineage: Eukaryota; Metazoa; Chordata; Ascidiacea; Phlebobranchia; Cionidae.
GCUUAUCACCAUUCCAGAUUGAAUAUACCCGAUCUCGUCUGAUCUCGGAAGUCAAGCAAUCUCAGGCUUGGUUAGUACUUGGAUGGGUGACCGCUUGGGAAUACCAAGUGUGAUAAGCA